RNAcentral lists this ribosomal RNA (321 nucleotides) under uncultured eukaryote. RNAcentral's name for it is "partial 18S ribosomal RNA". It matches the Rfam family "Eukaryotic small subunit ribosomal RNA", at positions 1470 to 1796 of the family's 1831-position model. The record is from RNAcentral.
CCCUUAGACGUUCUGGGCCGCACGCGCGCUACACUGACCAGUGCAACAAGCAUCCGUCCUUGGCCGACAGGCCCGGGCAAUCUUUGAACGCUGGUCGUGAUGGGGAUAGACUUUUGCAAUUUUUGGUCUUCAACGAGGAAUUCCUAGUAAACGCAAGUCAUCAACUUGCAUUGAUUACGUCCCUGCCCUUUGUACACACCGCCCGUCGCUCCUACCGAUGGGGUGAUCCGGUGAAUGAUUCGGACUCUGUAGUCUCGCUAUGAGUUUUAACGGAGAAAGUCUUGUGAACCUUAUCACUUGGAGGAAGGAGAAGUCGUANCA